This 332-nucleotide unclassified non-coding RNA is filed under the name soil metagenome. Its description in RNAcentral is "partial contains 5.8S ribosomal RNA, internal transcribed spacer 2, and large subunit ribosomal RNA". The stretch from base 1 to 120 matches the Rfam family "5.8S ribosomal RNA", at positions 35 to 154 of the family's 154-position model. The record is from RNAcentral.
GAUGAAGAACGUAGCGAAAUGCGAUAAGUAGUGUGAAUUGCAGAAUUCAGUGAAUCAUCGAAUCUUUGAACGCACAUUGCGCCCUUUGGUAUUCCUUAGGGCAUGCCUGUUCGAGCGUCAUUUAAACCUUCAAGCUAAGCUUGGUGUUGGGUGACUGUCCGCUUCACUGCGGACUCGCCUCAAAAUUAUUGGCGGCCGGUACAUUGGCUUCGAGCGUAGCAGAAACGCGAACUCGGGCCCGUCGUAUUGGCUCCCAGAAGCUAUCUUCACAAUUUUGACCUCGGAUCAGGUAGGGAUACCCGCUGAACUUAAGCAUAUCAAUAAGCGGAGGA